This 591-nucleotide ribosomal RNA is filed under the name Triticum aestivum (bread wheat). Its description in RNAcentral is "partial small subunit ribosomal RNA". Lineage: Eukaryota; Viridiplantae; Streptophyta; Magnoliopsida; Poales; Poaceae. The record is from RNAcentral.
AUGGACCAAUCCAUCCCUUUUUCCCGUGCAUAUGCAUCGGACUCGGAUGACGAUGGUCCUGAUGAAGAAGUUGAUGAGGAGGGGUUCACACCGAAGGAGGCCGAAGCAUUCCAGAAGGUAUUCGGGCGGGAUCACAAGACACCAUUGUUCAAGGAUCUUAGUCUCGCGGAUGAAGCCGUUGUGGAUGGUGGAAAAUGCAUAUCUCUUGGAGCUAGGCCAAGUUCUCACCAUGAUUUGGAAGACGGCAAGAACGGGAUAUAUCCCGGUUGUGAGUUUCAAUCCUUCUUGGAAUUGAAGAUGUGGCUCGACAACUACUCGGUUAUACAUUAUCGUCCACAUAAAGUGGCCAACUCGGACGUGAAUGUGCGUUACACGGUCAAAUGUGAAGUGCCAACAUGUCCAUGGAUUGUGCGUGCAAGGCCAUGGAAAGGAGGUCCCACUUGGCGCAUAGUGAGUUGUCUACCAACUCACAUGUGCCGGCACAAGAAUACGGAUGGCUUGUGUACCAACAACACAGACAACAUGUGUUCAACUACAAGAAUCUCAACAUCUCCUUCUCACACAAUGAAUAUGUCAUAUGUGUUCAAAUAA